CAUGCAAGUCGAACGAAGCACUUUUGUAUGAAUCUUCGGAGGAAGACAAUAGUGACUGAGUGGCGGACGGGUGAGUAACGCGUGGGUAACCUGCCUCAUACAGGGGGAUAACAGUUAGAAAUGACUGCUAAUACCGCAUAAGACCACGGAGUCGCAUGACUCAGUGGGAAAAACUCCGGUGGUAUGAGAUGGACCCGCGUCUGAUUAGGUAGUUGGUGGGGUAACGGCCUACCAAGCCGACGAUCAGUAGCCGACCUGAGAGGGUGACCGGCCACAUUGGGACUGAGACACGGCCCAAACUCCUACGGGAGGCAGCAGUGGGGAAUAUUGCACAAUGGGGGAAACCCUGAUGCAGCGACGCCGCGUGAGCGAAGAAGUAUUUCGGUAUGUAAAGCUCUAUCAGCAGGGAAGGAAAUGACGGUACCUGACUAAGAAGCACCGGCUAAAUACGUGCCAGCAGCCGCGGUAAUACGUAUGGUGCAAGCGUUAUCCGGAUUUACUGGGUGUAAAGGGAGCGUAGACGGCUGUGUAAGUCUGAAGUGAAAGCCCGGGGCUCAACCCCGGGACUGCUUUGGAAACUAUGCAGCUAGAGUGUCGGAGAGGCAAGUGGAAUUCCCAGUGUAGCGGUGAAAUGCGUAGAUAUUGGGAGGAACACCAGUGGCGAAGGCGGCUUGCUGGACGAUGACUGACGUUGAGGCUCGAAAGCGUGGGG
RNAcentral lists this ribosomal RNA (712 nucleotides) under uncultured bacterium. RNAcentral's name for it is "bacterial SSU rRNA". It matches the Rfam family "Bacterial small subunit ribosomal RNA", at positions 54 to 766 of the family's 1533-position model. The record is from RNAcentral.